Molecule: transfer RNA, 76 nt
Filed under: Peptococcaceae bacterium CEB3
Lineage: Bacteria; Bacillati; Bacillota; Clostridia; Eubacteriales; Peptococcaceae
Also listed under: 5 other names
Description: tRNA-Lys
Rfam family: tRNA
About the family: Transfer RNA (tRNA) molecules are approximately 80 nucleotides in length. Their secondary structure includes four short double-helical elements and three loops (D, anti-codon, and T loops).
Source: RNAcentral
GCGCCACUAGCUCAGCUGGUAGAGCAUCCGACUCUUAAUCGGCAGGUCCACGGUUCGAUCCCGUGGUGGCGCACCA